CCGCCAUCCUCCCCAAACACAUCUCGACUCUGAAAGUGACCCUAUGAAGGCCAUGACUGCUAAGCAGCAGGCAGAACAGACACGUUACUGUGAUGCAAGGUGUGAAAGCUGCUGAUGUUUACAGGAAACAGAUUGGAACAAGAUAUCAGCACAGACUGAGGCAACCAUGGAGAAGAUUGUAUGCUGAGAUGGAAGACCCAAAAGAUUGAAGCA
RNAcentral lists this long non-coding RNA (213 nucleotides) under Gorilla gorilla gorilla (western lowland gorilla). RNAcentral describes it as "lncRNA (ENSGGOG00000044493.1)". Lineage: Eukaryota; Metazoa; Chordata; Mammalia; Primates; Hominidae. The record is from RNAcentral.